CGCCUGUUCAGCUGAGCUGGUGGAGCAGCGUCCCAGUUCAGACUUCAGCCUGUCGAUCAUCAGCUGAUGAACACAGUGAAGCUGCUGCCACCUGCUGGAGGACCGACAGCACUGAUUGGCUGUCAGCCUGAGAACAAACAGGAAGUGACUGCAGUCUUUCCCUCCUAGAUCAGGAUGUGCAUCAUCAACACUGUGAAAACAACAAGAACAUGGAAACAUGAAGGUGUUUGUUAGAGUCUGACAAGCUGGAGUCCAUCAUGAUCUUCAGUCUGAAACACACCAGAGCAACAGAAAUGAGCUGAAAUAAGAUCAAAUACAUUCUCACUGUCCAUGUUGAGACCAAUAUUAACAACAUUAUACAGUAACAAACUAAUAAAAGACAACUGUCGUGACCACAUGAGGGAUCAUGUUAUGUUGGAGCUUCAUGUCCUUCCUAUUACCUGCUGUAAUAAACAUGUCAGUGAACGUGUCUCUGAGACAGUCACAGUGCUCAUGUCUCCCACACAGUGCAGGGACAGUGAACAGGCCUGAGCACGAUCAGUGUGACGAUCCUAUUGUUUCUGUGCGUGUUCGUCUCUGAUGAGAAGCAUGUUUGGUGGCUAAACAUCCCCCAAACUCUGCACACAUCUGGUGAAAUGUUUAUGAUUCAGCAUGAUUGUUGUGGAUGUGAUCAGAGGACUCCAUAGCGCCCCCUAAUGCCAGGUCAUGUGACAGCAUGAUGAAGCGGG
Molecule: long non-coding RNA, 728 nt
Organism: Acanthopagrus latus (yellowfin seabream)
Lineage: Eukaryota; Metazoa; Chordata; Actinopteri; Spariformes; Sparidae
Exons: 3
Source: RefSeq, a predicted model, not a curated record